GAAUCGACUGCAAACUUGUUAUUGGACGCACCCGACAAUCCCAUACUUCUCCCUCCUUCCACGAACUAGGGUUUGCCGCCGCGGCAUUGUUCCGCACCCACGACUCCACGCGGCUCACUAUGGCCGUCGCCAGUGGGGCGCGCGAGGGGUAGAUGGGGAGGAGAGUGAUUCAUCGCGGAGAAGCCAACUCGGAUGAGCGCAGGGAGAGAGGCCAUGGAGGGUCGUGGAAUUGGGCGCCGCGCCGAUCUACUCUUACAGCGAGUCCCAGACUCCUCAGCGCCGCCGACUGAGGGGAGUACGCGGAGGUCGAUCCCGUCGUCUCGCCACCAACCCCUUGCUCCUCCUAGCAACCGUUUCUCGAUUCAUUCGCUUGCCCAGAUCGUUGAUCCGUUUGCUUUGCUCCGCUGCUGGAUUUGUCGCAGUACAACGACGUUCUUGUCAAGGGCGCGUCCAAGACCGUGUCACCAUCAAUAACUCUGACACGGGCGCCGCUGUCGCCAUGAAGAUCCUCGACAAGUCCACCAUCGUCAACCACCGCAUGAUGCACCAGGUAGCUGCCCUGCCCUCCUGUCUGCUCAGUCUGCUUGACCUUCAUCCAUCCAGUUUCGAUUUCCACUAGCACAAAUCUAAAUCAAACUCUUCUUGCUCCCGUCCUGUCCUAGCUUUGAUACAAGCAAUUUUCUAUUGUUGUUGGCUGGUUCCUUUUAUAUUCUGUAAAUCUUAAUCUCUGUAUGGCUUAUUUGGCCAUCUACUGAGUACAUUUGAGGUAUCUUAGAUGACAUUGUUCUUCACUCUUGUGUUCUUUAUGCGUGGGGUGCUGCCAAGUGCCUUCAAGGCACAUGCAUGUAAUUUAUGUAAUUGAACAUAUAAGUUAAAAAGGAUUAGCCUUCUAAUAUAUUUUCCACUUUAGUGGUUAGCUGACACCUUCGUAUCGUACAUAUAUGGUCUUGUAGUUUAGACUGAUCAUAAAGUUUGGGUAGUUAUUGUUUCAUUUUUUGUUAAAAGUUCACAUUCCAGGGAACUGAUUUUCUGCUGUGGUGAAUGUUAAAGAGAGAACCAGGAAAGUAGUGUGUAUGGUUAUUUGGGUAUCGCAAUUGGUUAGCGAUAGAGUUCACAAGAAGAUGCAUUAGCCUUGUUCUGCCGGAGAUGUUGCACGGCCUGAAUCUGUAUAUCAAAAUACUAGGUAAGAAUAGCAUAAGAUAAAUAGAAGGAACAAAAUUACUUGAGCCAAACUACGUAACUAAACAGAGACGGUAGGCGUUUCACAAAAAAAGAUGAUAGGCCGAAGAUUACUGCCAUCCUAUCAAAGAUACUAAGAACAGCAUGUAAGACAAGAAAAGAGAACCAUGUAGCUUUUUAUCUAUCAAAGAUAAUGUAAAAUGUUUGGUCUAUGUUCAGAAGAAACGAGAAGUAGUGUAAAAAGUUUGAUAGCCUUUUAGGGAAAAUUUUGGUCUAUGCACCUCAUGCAUUCAGCAGUACCAAAAAAAAUACUGAUUUAACAUUUGUUAAUGUUCUCUUCGCUAAUGGUUAUCAAGCUGCUUUGCCUAAGCACAAUGACUCGCAACCCGCUAUGAAAUCUACUAUUUGAUCAACUAGUGGAUUCCCCGCGCGUUGCCGCAGAAAUCUAAGAGUUCCUCUAUUUUCAAAAAAAAAGAAAUCUAAGAGUUCCUUAUGGCUGCAUGGUUAGAAGUUAGAAACAAAUAAGUCACUUGUCUUUCCGAUCAAACUGAUAUGGGUAUACAACCUGGCAUUAACAAUAUGAUAUUGGUGUAUGUACACAUAUAAUUCAACACCUGAGAAACGAUGACUUUCAGAAAACAUUCAUUAAAAUAGACAAAACAAUAGAGAUUUUUACCAAUCUCAUUACUAUAGGUGGUUUGCUGUUCGAGGCGACGACUCUUUCUGGCUUAUUUUCUUAGGAAGCUAGUUUGGUUGGUUAGAUCAUCUUCAACAACUUUUUUUUAUAUUUGGUCGUAUAUACCAAGAUAUCGACAAUAGUCUAAAAGGCUUCCUUGUC
This is a long non-coding RNA of Brachypodium distachyon (stiff brome), 2017 nucleotides long. RefSeq lists it as uncharacterized. The record is from RefSeq and is a predicted model, not a curated record. NCBI's taxonomy places the organism in Eukaryota, Viridiplantae, Streptophyta, Magnoliopsida, Poales, Poaceae. The transcript has 3 exons.